Coffea arabica (coffee) is the source of this 472-nucleotide long non-coding RNA. RefSeq lists it as uncharacterized. The record is from RefSeq and is a predicted model, not a curated record. Lineage: Eukaryota; Viridiplantae; Streptophyta; Magnoliopsida; Gentianales; Rubiaceae.
UUCUUGAUUUGAGGUAGUGACAAGUCUAGAUGAGUGUAACUCCUUCCUUGAUUAAUGCGUGAUUAUGAGUGAAAAAUACUUGUCAAUUGCUUCAGGUGCUCAAGCUAGUCUGGAAGAGAAUCCCGGAGAGGACAACUAACGAUUCUCUCGCUCAAUUACUCUUGAAUUGUUCUGGAAAUUGAGAGCUUUACAAUUUACUUAGACUUUCUUAUGGAUGUAAAUGAAUUCUAUGACUUCGCUUUGCGGUUUGUAAUGUCUAAUGUUACUUAUGUCAUGUAUCGGAUUGGAGAUACGUUAAGCUUGGUGUACUUAAUGCUUUGGAUUGCCACUUGAAGCUGGAAAAGUGCAAUCCCUGAUUCAGAUAUUUGGCUUGUAUGUUCGUACUUGUGUUGUAUGAACUUGUAUGUUUGGGAUGGUAUGACUUUAGACUUGGGUUGUAACGCGUAAGGUUCUUAAGAGUCGACGAUUGGCU